UAGAGGAAGUAAAAGUCGUAACAAGGUUUCCGUAGGUGAACCUGCGGAAGGAUCAUUAUUGAAUGAACUUGGUGUGGUUGUAGCUGGCCCUCUCGUCGGGGGCAUGUGCACAUCCGCCAUCUUUAUCUCUCCACCUGUGCACAUCUUGUAGACCUGGAUAGACUUUCCGAGGCAACUCGGUCGGGAGGACUGCUGUGCGUCACUGCCGGCUUUCCUUGCAUAUCUAGGCCUAUGUUUUCAUAUACCCCAUAGUAUGUAACAGAAUGUAUCAUUGGGCCUCGUGCCUAUAAACUAUAUACAACUUUCAGCAACGGAUCUCUUGGCUCUCGCAUCGAUGAAGAACGCAGCGAAAUGCGAUAAGUAAUGUGAAUUGCAGAAUUCAGUGAAUCAUCGAAUCUUUGAACGCACCUUGCGCUCCUUGGUAUUCCGAGGAGCAUGCCUGUUUGAGUGUCAUUAAAUUCUCAACCUUACCAGCUUUUGCGAGUUCGGUAAUGGCUUGGAUGUGGGGGUUUUGUGCCGGCUUCCUAGUGAAGUCAGCUCCCCUUAAAUGUAUUAGCCGGUGCCCUUUGUGGACUGUCUAUUGGUGUGAUAAUUAUCUACGCCGUGGACUUCUGCUUUGAAUAGGUGCACUGCUUCUAACCGUCUGUUCAUUCGGACAAUACUUGACAAUUUGACCUCAAAUCAGGUAGGACUACCCGCUGAACUUAAGCAUAUCAAUAA
Molecule: ribosomal RNA, 720 nt
Filed under: Flammula alnicola
Lineage: Eukaryota; Fungi; Basidiomycota; Agaricomycetes; Agaricales; Strophariaceae
Description: eukaryotic LSU rRNA
Rfam family: 5.8S ribosomal RNA (bases 300-453)
Source: RNAcentral